CUGGAGUGAAGGGCAUUUCCCUGCAGCAGGUGCACCUGCGCCUCGUUACCCCAUCAAGCUUGGCUGUGUAUUUAAGGACUCCUGACUUCUGCCACUCCUUGUCAGAUUAUUGACCUUGCUUGUUGUUGUGCUUCAAGUGUGAUUUUUCCGAGACCUCUCGAUACAAUUCCUAGUCGCUCCCGUUUGUUCAUAGUUUUCUUGAGCAGGUUAUUUAACUCAGGUUAGCAAAAAAAAAAAAAAAAGUGAAAAGGAAAGUACUGAACAUCUCCAAACAAACCCAAAUGCGAGUGUCCUACAAGGACGGCUGCGUUACUGGGCUUGAAAAACACAUCGGCUACGUCACCGUUCUUACAGAAUUGCCAAAAGCAGGCUUGGACACUGGACACAGUUGCAGGGUUCAAAGUUAAAAAAAAAAA
Molecule: long non-coding RNA, 416 nt
Organism: Hippocampus comes (tiger tail seahorse)
Lineage: Eukaryota; Metazoa; Chordata; Actinopteri; Syngnathiformes; Syngnathidae
Exons: 2
Source: RefSeq, a predicted model, not a curated record